AACGAACGCUGGCGGCAGGCUUAACACAUGCAAGUAGAACGACCCGCAAGGGGAGUGGCAGCCGGGUGAGUAACACGUGGGAAUCUACCGUGCCCUGCGCAAUAGCUCCGGGAAACUGGAAUUAAUAUCGCAUACGCCCUACGGGGGCACGAUUUAUCGGGGUAUGAUGAGCCCGCGUUGGAUUAGCUAGAUGGUGGGGUAAAGGCCUACCAAGGCGACGAUCCAUAGCUGGUCUGAGAGGAUGAUCAGCCACAUUGGGACUGAGACACGGCCCAAACUCCUACUGGAGGCAGCAGUGGGUAGUAUUGAACAAUGGGCGCAAGCCUGAUCCAGCCAUGCCGCGUGAGUGAUGAAGGCCUGAGGGUUGUAAAGCUCUUUCACCGAUUAAGAUAAUGACGAUAGUCGGAGAAGAAGCCCCGGCUAACUUCGUGCCAGCCGCCGCAGUAA
This 447-nucleotide ribosomal RNA is filed under the name uncultured bacterium. RNAcentral's name for it is "partial 16S ribosomal RNA". It matches the Rfam family "Bacterial small subunit ribosomal RNA", at positions 29 to 523 of the family's 1533-position model. The record is from RNAcentral.